CUUACUCACAUGCACCAGUACUCACUCAUGUUCACACUCAUGUUCACACUCAUGCCUAUUCACACUCACAGGUACUCAUCCACGUUCGCACUCAAGCCUACUCACACCCACAGGUACUCAUUGAUGUUCAUACUCACGUCCACUCUCAUUCAUCGGCACUCACUCACAUUCACACCUUUGAAAGGAGUGCAAGUGAGUGUGCCAACCUAUGCUGGCAAUAUACUUUUGUAAUAUG
This 235-nucleotide long non-coding RNA is filed under the name Dermacentor andersoni. Its description in RNAcentral is "uncharacterized LOC126535910". Lineage: Eukaryota; Metazoa; Arthropoda; Arachnida; Ixodida; Ixodidae. The record is from RNAcentral.